UCACCUAGUAAACCUUGUUUCACUAGUCCAACUAAACUCAUGUCACUAACAAGUACCCACCCGAAGAUCCACAACUUAACCAAAACAUGAGAAUCACCACUAGUAACAGAUGUAUAACCAAUAAUAGUAUAACUAUCUAACAAGUAUCUACCUACUAUCUAUGCAUCAAAGUUCAAGAAAAUACCUCGCAUUGUGUUAAAAGAAACUCACCCAUACAUUGAACCUUACAAGCUUUCCGUCACCAAGAUGAACAACUCCACCUUCAACUAGCUAUAGGGAUUCAAAAGUAUUUCUUCUUCAAACACAUGUGAUAGGAGCUUCCAAAGUCCAUAUGACUCAACACUCCAUCGAUUCUCA
RNAcentral lists this long non-coding RNA (357 nucleotides) under Trifolium pratense (red clover). RNAcentral describes it as "long non-coding RNA (TPRA_LNC008893)". Lineage: Eukaryota; Viridiplantae; Streptophyta; Magnoliopsida; Fabales; Fabaceae. The record is from RNAcentral.